RNAcentral lists this unclassified non-coding RNA (88 nucleotides) under Pseudomonas mucidolens. The record is from RNAcentral. Lineage: Bacteria; Pseudomonadati; Pseudomonadota; Gammaproteobacteria; Pseudomonadales; Pseudomonadaceae.
GUGGGAGGGGGCUUGCUCCCGAUGGCGGCGUGUCAGUCAACAGAGUCAUUGGCUGAUCCACCGCCAUCGGGAGCAAGCCCCCUCCCAC